Molecule: ribosomal RNA, 384 nt
Filed under: uncultured bacterium
Lineage: Bacteria
Description: bacterial SSU rRNA
Rfam family: Bacterial small subunit ribosomal RNA
Source: RNAcentral
AUUGAACGCUGGCGGCAUGCCUUACACAUGCAAGUCGAACGGCAGCACGGGAGCAAUCCUGGUGGCGAGUGGCGAACGGGUGAGUAAUAUAUCGGAACGUGCCCGGUCGUGGGGAUAACGUAGCGAAAGCUACGCUAAUACCGCAUACGAUCUACGGAUGAAAGCGGGGGAUCGCAAGACCUCGCGCGAUUGGAGCGGCCGAUAUCAGAUUAGGUAGUUGGUGAGGUAAAGGCUCACCAAGCCGACGAUCUGUAGCUGGUCUGAGAGGACGACCAGCCACACUGGGACUGAGACACGGCCCAGACUCCUACGGGAGGCAGCAGUGGGGAAUUUUGGGACAAUGGGCGCAAGCCUGAUCCAGCAAUGCCGCGUGCAGGAUGAAGG